UACGUAGGGUGCAAGCGUUAAUCGGAAUUACUGGGCGUAAAGCGUGCGCAGGCGGUUUUGUAAGUCUGUCGUGAAAGCCCCGGGCUCAACCUGGGAAUUGCGAUGGAGACUGCAAGGCUUGAAUCUGGCAGAGGGGGGUAGAAUUCCACGUGUAGCAGUGAAAUGCGUAGAGAUGUGGAGGAACACCGAUGGCGAAGGCAGCCCC
RNAcentral lists this ribosomal RNA (205 nucleotides) under uncultured bacterium. RNAcentral's name for it is "partial 16S ribosomal RNA". It matches the Rfam family "Bacterial small subunit ribosomal RNA", at positions 524 to 728 of the family's 1533-position model. The record is from RNAcentral.